RNAcentral lists this ribosomal RNA (960 nucleotides) under Staphylococcus sp. Its description in RNAcentral is "bacterial SSU rRNA". It matches the Rfam family "Bacterial small subunit ribosomal RNA", at positions 58 to 954 of the family's 1533-position model. The record is from RNAcentral. Lineage: Bacteria; Bacillati; Bacillota; Bacilli; Caryophanales; Staphylococcaceae.
CAAUCCGCAUGUUCGCGCUGCGUAGCGCUGCACCUGACUCAAAGAGCCAGAAGAGGUGCACCCUAAUGAAGUGGCGGCGGACGGAAAAAGGCCACGUGGCUAACCUACCUAUGAGACUGGAAUAUCUUCGGGAAACCGGAGCUAAUGCCGGAUAACAUUUGGAACCGCAUGGUUCUAAAGUAAAAGAUGGUUUUGCUAUCACUUAUAGAUGGACCCGCGCCGUAUUAGCUAGUUGGUAAGGUAACGGCUUACCAAGGCAACGAUACGUAGCCGACCUGAGAGGGUGAUCGGCCACACUGGAACUGAGACACGGUCCAGACUCAUACGGGAGGCAGCAGUAGGGAAUCUUCCGCAAUGGACGAAAGUCUGACGGAGCAACGCCGCGUGAGUGAUGAAGGUUUUCGGAUCGUAAAACUCUGUUAUUAGGAAAGAACAAAUGUGUAAGUAACUGUGCACAUCUUGACGGUACCUAAUCAGAAAGCCACGGCUAACUACGUGCCAGCAGCCGCGGUAAUACGUAGGUGGCAAGCGUUAUCCGGAAUUAUUGGGGCGUAAAGCGCGCGUAGGCGGUUUCUUAAGUCUGAUGUGAAAGCCCACGGCUCAGCCGUGGAGAGUCAUUGGAAACUGGGAAACUUGAGUACAGAAGAGUAAAGUGGAAUUCCAUGUGUAGCGAUGAAAUGCGCAGAGAUAUGGAGGAACACCAGUGGCAGAAGGCGACUUUCUGGUCUGUAACUGACGCUGAUGUGCGAAAGCGUGGGAUCAAACAGGGUUAGAUCCCCUGGUAGACCACAGCCGCUACACGAUGAGUGCUACGUGUUAGGGGUGUUCUCCGGCCCCCUUUAGAGCUGCAACUAACACAUCUAUGCACUCCGCCUGCGGAAGUACUACCGCUAGGUUGAAACUUCAGAGGAACUGGCCGGGGACCCGGCACAAUCGGUGUACAUUGUUGUUUUACUUCGA